AAAAAGGCAAACUCUAGGUUUUCGUGUCCAAUUUUGACUGUCCGUCUUAUAUGAAACUUUUUUAUAUUUCGUAUUUUCAUUGUUGUUAGAUGAUAAAACAUGAUUAAUAUUUUAUGCGUGACUUGUCUUUUUAAUUUUUUAUAAGAUAGACGGUCAAAUGUUAGACACGGAAACCAAGGUUUGUCUUCUU
Molecule: microRNA precursor, 190 nt
Organism: Oryza sativa Japonica Group (Japanese rice)
Lineage: Eukaryota; Viridiplantae; Streptophyta; Magnoliopsida; Poales; Poaceae
Rfam family: MIR812 microRNA precursor family
Source: Rfam